UAGAGAGUUGUUCCUAACAUAAUUCCCGUAAAUUAUUCAUACGUUACAUAAAAAAGAAAUUCAUACGUUACGAAUAAAAGAAAAUCCCCAUUAACAUCUCCCAAAUUUCAGAUGUUCGACUACAUAAACCUCAAAAGAGGUUAUCUCCCAAAGUUUCGCAAGUGCUUCUUCACCGUACUCUUCAAGAUUAAUCCGUCAAAACUCCAUUUUGACAAUCAAUCCUUGGAGAUGCUCAAUUACACAAACCUCAAAUACCAAACGCUCUCAUUUUCUUUCUUCACCAUGCUCUCAGUUUCUAGAUUUUUGGUCAUUGAGAAAAGAGCUACCAUCAUCCAUCUCAGUGGUAUUGUGUUCGGGAUUUUCAGUGCAAAUUGUAGUCACUUCGUUUGAGCAAGAAGAAGGAUCGGAACCAUAUAGAUAUCUGUCUAAAUGAUGCCAUAUCUGUACCAAUUCGAGCAACAUGCAAAAGUUUAGGCAUUCAAUGUUAGCGAGAGAUAUCAAGGAGCCAAAGGUUAGUCUGCUCAUAGGUGAAAACCGGUUAAUCGGCAUCAACGAAUCGUUGAGAGU
This is a long non-coding RNA of Papaver somniferum (opium poppy), 567 nucleotides long. RefSeq lists it as uncharacterized. The transcript has 5 exons. NCBI's taxonomy places the organism in Eukaryota, Viridiplantae, Streptophyta, Magnoliopsida, Ranunculales, Papaveraceae. The record is from RefSeq and is a predicted model, not a curated record.